CAUCGCAAGUCAAAUUUGUGUUAAUUUUGGGAUUUUGAAGUAAAAUUUGCAGGCUUAAUAGUUAUAUGUAUAUUGUGAGGAUGAGAUUCUUGCAGAUAUGAAACAUCCAUACCUUUUAAUAUUACCUCAUUUUCAAAUUGAUUUUUCUGGUUAGAUUUGUGAUGAUUUUCUCAAAAAUGUUUAGUUAAAUCGGGCAAAUUAAGCCGAUUGAAGGUUCACCAACUCUCCGUGAAUUGGGAUUUGGUAUAAUCUUUGAUUUAUUCCAUCUAAUCUUGCUGAUUUGAAGUUUAUUAGUUUUAUCAUACUGAGAUUUGUGAAUAUUUUUGGGGUUUAAUCCUAUUUUUUAUAAACCCUCUAUUGAUUUCCUCUAUCAUCCUGAGAUUUGUUUUUUUCGUCUUUCCUGCUAAUUUUUGAUGAUUCUACUUUCUGUCUCCACUGGCUAAUUUUUGGAAUUAAGUAAUCUCUCUUAAAAUAUGUAUAUUUUUUCUAUGAUUUUUAUGCUAUAUGCUGUGAAUUUUAGUUUAGGGAUGUAGUUGAAGCUUUUAAAUUAAGUUAGAUCUUAGUCACAGAUCCACUUGAAUGUUUUCAUCAAAAGUUUCUUAUUGAUUUAGGUUAACCCCCUCCCACAUUGAAAACUCAUCAAGUUCUAGUGCGUGGCUAAUUUAUCCUCUAUAUAAUCUAUAUAAUUUAAUGGUGUUAUUAGUGAAUUUAAAUUUGGAAAACAUAGUCAUCAAUCAAAUUUUCUAUUUUUAGUUUUCUAAACAAUAGAAAAUUGUUUUAUAUAACCAAUGGCAUUUCUACAAAAUAGAAAAUGAAAAAAGAAAACUGAUUUCAGAAAAUGAAAAUGUAAACUGUUCUAAUACACUUUUUCCUUUUUUUCCAGUUCAACUAUUUUCCUAGUUGUCUUUCAAUUUCUGCCAUCUAUAAGCUCUAUCUCCCCAAAAUAUGAAAGUCGUCAGUGAGCCCAUCAGAGUUCAGUCCCUAUUAAAAAUUGCCAAAUACUCACAGGCCCAAAAUUUUUCAUGCUCGCUCUCUUCCCUUCCACCUGCGAUUCCUUUUUCCCUCUCCUUCUUCACUGGCGACUCCCUUUUUCUUCUUCACCGGUGACAAUUCCCUCUCUCACUUCCUUUCUCUCUUCCUCUCCACUGCCCACAUAUACAGACACAACGAGGAGAAGAAUGGAGGAUUUAGGCGUGAGGAGGUGAAUUGAGGAGGCUUGAUUUGGGCGUGAAGAGGCGAACGGAGGAGGCUUGAUUUGGUUUUUGACUGGCGAAUUGGUUUUUUUUUAUGUAAUUUAGUUUUUUGUUAUGAGAAUUUUGCUGAUUCUUAUGGCUGACAUUUUUUACUCUAUCAUCUCUAGGCACGAAUAGCAUGUGCCUCUACUCUUGCGGUAAUGUUGGAUGGGCCAGCAUAUGUUUUUCUUCAGAUGGCAGAAUACAAGGAAUCAACUAGAUGUGGAUCUUUUAUGACACUUUCCAACUCCCUUGGUCAGAUUCUACUGCAACUCCACAUAGGUAUAUAAGAUGCAUUCUCCGUGCAUCUAGUCAACCAUGCAAGCUAUAUCUCCUUUUUGGUUCAUUCUGUUGAUGUUCCCCUUUUAUUUUUAUUUGUUUAUGUUCAAAUUAUGACAAUUUUUAAUGUGGUUUAGGCAUUCUGUACUUGAUAAAACAAGAAAAGAAUACUGAAUUGGGGGCGUCGUUGUUCAAAAUUCUCAUCCUUUUGAUAUCAUCCAUACCGUAAGAACCCUUCCUCCUGUAGUUUAUCCUAUUUGUAAAUUGGAUGUGUAUUUAAUGAAUUGCUUUAAUAUUGAUACUGCUCGUUUUAGCAUAUAUACCACAUUUAUUCAGUGACAAAAUCUUGUAAGGUUUACUCUGCUUAAAAAAAUUACUACUGCUAAGCCACUUAAGAGAAGUCCAUACAAAAGCCUUGUUUUGGAAGGAACCUUUGCUUCCAAAUGCAGGAUUCUGUAAGGAACUGAAUGGAGCACGAGAUUGAAUAAAAAGAGAAAUAUGACUAGCAAGAGUAAACUUCAGAAGAUUCAAGAGCCAAAGAGGGCAUAUCAAAGAAAAGAAAAACUGAUGAGAAUUAUGAAGAAGAACCACAGAAGUUGGCUCCCCAGUUUGGUUGAAUGAAUUUAAUUUGACCACUAAAAGACAAUAAAAUGAUACAGCUCCUCAGUUUCUUGAUAGGGGAUGAACUGAAUGAUAUUUUAUAUAGGUUUACAUCAAAUAAUAGUUCUUUCAUUUUGUGAUUAAAAAUAAAAGUAAAUCAAUAUGGUAUAGGGGAGAGGGGGAAAAAGGUUCUUCAAUAUGGUUUAAAACUGGGUGUUGAAAAAGUAAUUGAUUCCCUGUGUUGAGUGAGUAUUUCUCUGAUAAUGACUGUCUUUGGUGAAUGUCCCUGUUAACUUCUUACUGGACCUCACUCCAAAUCUUUAAUCUAUUAUAGGAUGAGGCCUAUGUUUUUUCUGCAUAAUGACCUUAAUAUUUAAUGGAAUGAGGUUUCUUAUAUUGUUUCCUUUAGGCUUCGAUCAACUCUAAUUCAACUUUACUUUACCCUUUAUGAUUUCUGUCUCCAGCCUCGAUUUCUCAUACUGUGCUCAAAUAUGGUAUAUAAGACUUGUCUCGUAAUUAAGUCUACCUUUGACAUACUAACAAGAAUGAAUAUACAUGCUUAUGAGGCCAGAUUUCUAAGGAUAUCUAGAAAAGAUCUAUAGAUUUGUAAGUAGAGUUAUUUUGUAAAUAUUUCAUAAACUAUCUGAAUAGCGGCCAAACAAGCAGCAGUAUAUAGUAGUAUUUAAACUCGAAUCUACUAAUGCUAGAAUUGAUUGUCUUACUCAAUGAGAUUUGUAUUUAUGCUUCUUUAUAAAUGUGCAUCAUUCAACAGAUAUUCAUACAUGCCUGCUGAGUUGCUGCAAACAGUUAUAUUAUGUCUCCAAGGAAGGAUUGAAGAGGGCUUCUUAUUCAAGAGUGAUCAAAGUGGACUACUAGUUAGUGUUAAUAUAUUGAUGUAUUUAUCUAUAAGUAGGCAUAGCGUUAAGCAAGUAACCUUGAGGAGCUCUUCUGACCAAUAGUACUACUUUUGAUGGAUCAAGGUUAUAUUGGGCAUAUGAUGAGUUUCCUCAGAGGAGCUCAUCUGGCCAAUAGUACUCAUUUUGAUGGGUUAAGGUUAUAUUGGGCAUAUGAUGAGUUUCCUUAGACGUGGGGUCUUGGACUAGGUAGGUGCCUAGCUUAGAUAGCCUUAAUUGUCUAAGCCUAGUUACAAUCUUGGGAAAGUCCAAUAGUGUACAACCAAAGCCCCAAACUAUCAUAUUAUGGGGGGGCUUGUAAUCUUUAAACAAUAUAUAGGUCUCAAAUUUGCUAUAAUCUGCACUUGACCUCCAAAAUUCAUGACUCAUACCAGUAUAAACAUUUUUUUAUUUUAUAUUUAUAAAAAUGAAAGUAUAAUUUGUAAUUUUUUUCUGCAAACAAUUUAAAUAUUAUUAUAGCUUUAAAUAUGUAACACAAUCAAUAAUAAUUAGAUAAAGGUAACAAUAAUAUCAUGAAUACUUCUAUAACUUUUAUUAACUUUUCCUUUUUUUUAUACUCAAAACUUAAUAAUCUAAAGGCUAAAAGUGGCAGUACAACGAAUAUAUAGUUAUCUAAAUUUCAUACAAGUAUAUAUAUAAGCUUUUCUUGCACAAAAAACAACUAUAUAUAUUAUGUAAAUGAAGAAAAAAAAUUACAAAAUUAUUGGAAAAUAAAAUAAAAGUUAGUGCACAUCCAAAUGAGAGAUGGUAGACAUUUAAGAUGUGACCAUACCAACCCUCAGGGACUAUUCUUCAUCAAGCACUAUUCUUGUAGGACCCAAUUAUGAAGGGGAGGAACUUAUCUCGCUGACCUGUGUCUGUUCUGCCUUUACCACUUAAAAAUUCUCAAGUUAUCAAUAAAUGUGUCUUUCCAAUGUCUGCUGCAACAUGUUAAAUUCUUGGUAAAUAAAUCUAUGAUGUCUGUGAUUAUAGCUAGCAUCUUUGGGGCAUAUAUUGUAUGGAAAUUUGUCGUCUCAAGAAAAGUUUUUUCACAUUGACUAAUAGCCUCAACUUUUCCAUAAUUGUUAUCCUUUCUAUAUAUAAAUCUAAACAUUGUUAUUUAAGAUUGUGUGAUGCUUGUGGUUGUUGGAUGUGACUGAAUUCUGACUUGAGGUCAACAUAUAAUAAUAAUUUACAAGUCUUGUAACAGAAAAUAUGUUUACCACUAUGCUUACUGAAAUUAAUUCAUGAAAUGGCCGAUUAAGAUUCUAUUUUUUUCUUGUAACAGAGCAAUCAUAUAGUCGCAUUGAAGGUUCUUUUUCUAUUUGGAUUUGUAGCAAAUGAUAUUGUGAUUGCCUAUUUGUCUUUUUCUGCUUAUGAGCAAUAUGGUGUACUUAAGUACCAGGUAGCAACUCUAUUGUCUUUGUGUAUUGAUUUUGGCACUAAGUGCCUCUGGUGACCUAUUUGCUUUAUUUUUCUGACUUGCUAUUAUUUUUAAAUAUGUGCAGGAAGACUGCUUCUAUGACCUGCCUUACAAUACUGGGUAUCAAAUUUCUGUGUUACGUUUACGGAAGACAAGGGACUAAAUUAUGAAGUGUACUCUCUCUAUAUAUGUAGAUAUAUACUUUGAUUGAAGAACUGUGGUAGCUUUAAACGAUUAAUUGUAAAGAUAAUGAAUGAUUAUGAAGUGGAUG
RNAcentral lists this long non-coding RNA (4698 nucleotides) under Panax ginseng (ginseng). RNAcentral's name for it is "long non-coding RNA (PGIN_LNC004915)". Lineage: Eukaryota; Viridiplantae; Streptophyta; Magnoliopsida; Apiales; Araliaceae. The record is from RNAcentral.